Candidatus Collierbacteria bacterium CG1_02_44_10 is the source of this 74-nucleotide non-coding RNA. NCBI's taxonomy places the organism in Bacteria, Candidatus Collieribacteriota. The record is from Rfam.
GGGCCCAUGGCGCAGUUGGCUAGCGCGCCUCAUUUGCAAUGAGGAGGUCAUGGGUUCGAAUCCCAUUGGGUCCA